RNAcentral lists this long non-coding RNA (438 nucleotides) under Physcomitrium patens. Its description in RNAcentral is "long non-coding RNA (PPAT_LNC008428)". Lineage: Eukaryota; Viridiplantae; Streptophyta; Bryopsida; Funariales; Funariaceae. The record is from RNAcentral.
CAGUUGCAAGUUGUCAAAAUUGUGAAGCAUAUAAUGUUACUGAUCGAUUGCCUUGUCGUAAAAUACGGAUCUUAUUGGUUGCAACAUGAAUUGCAUCAUGUUCUCCAUACAUAGAUCGAAACUCCGCCAAAAAAGCCUCUAGAUUAUCCAAUAUUGGAUCUCGUCAUUCAAGAAAAGAUGAAAACCACGAUAGUGUCAAACUUGAAAGAAGCAUACCAAUGAAUCUGAUUUGUGAUGGUGGAGUUGGAUAGCUUUGGGGUUGAAGUUUAAUUACAAGUUAUACUUGAUUGAUAAAUCUUUGAAACUUGGACCUGGUGCCAUCAAACUUCUUGAGUAGGGCAAUUCUUGGUUCUCUAACAUUUGAAGGGCGUUCCACUAUAGGAGAAAGGACAUGGUUUGAUGCAGAUGUUGAAGCAGCUCCAACUAUUUCUAUAUCUU